Molecule: RNA transcript, 1211 nt
Organism: Oncorhynchus gorbuscha (pink salmon)
Lineage: Eukaryota; Metazoa; Chordata; Actinopteri; Salmoniformes; Salmonidae
Gene name: transducin-like enhancer protein 3
Exons: 5
Source: RefSeq, a predicted model, not a curated record
CCCAAAUGUUAACUGGCUCCCUCUCUGUCUCCAGAACAGGGACAACUACAUCCGCUCCUGUAAGCUCCUCCCUGAUGGCCGCACCCUGAUUGUGGGCGGUGAGGCCAGCACGCUGACCAUCUGGGACCUGGCCUCUCCGACGCCACGUAUCAAGGCGGAGCUCACCUCCUCGGCCCCCGCCUGCUACGCACUGGCCAUCUCCCCGACGCCAAAGUCUGCUUCUCCUGCUGCAGUGAUGGGAACAUCGCCGUCUGGGACCUGCACAACCAGACCCUGGUCAGGCAGUUCCAGGGCCACACGGACGGCGCCAGCUGUAUCGACAUCUCCCACGACGGGACCAAGCUGUGGACCGGAGGUCUGGACAACACCGUCCGCUCAUGGGACCUGAGGGAGGGACGCCAGCUCCAGCAGCAUGACUUCACCUCCCAGAUCUUCUCUCUAGGCUACUGCCCCACAGGGGAGUGGCUGGCAGUGGGCAUGGAGAGCAGCAACGUGGAGGUUCUCCAUCACACCAAGCCGGACAAGUACCAGCUCCACCUGCAUGAGAGCUGCGUCCUCUCGCUGAAGUUCGCCUACUGUGGUAAAUGGUUUGUGAGCACGGGGAAGGACAACCUCUUGAAUGCCUGGAGGACUCCAUACGGUGCCAGUAUAUUCCAGUCAAAGGAGUCCUCUUCCGUCCUGAGCUGCGACAUCUCUGCAGACGACAAGUACAUCGUGACGGGCUCUGGAGACAAGAAGGCCACAGUGUACGAGGUGAUCUACUAGAAACACCAGUUUGACCCCUCCUCCUAGUGGCCUGACGAGGGGAGCUGCUAGCCCCUCCUCCUCCUCUUACUUCACUCACCACACCCCCUAACCUCAAAGACCACCAGGGAUUGGACUACAGACCAUGUCGGCUCCCGGAUUGGUGCUCAGAAGGCACCAUGAACUCUGCUUGGCAGUUGGCCUGGCCAUGAUUGGCUAUCGGGUGCAGACUGUAACCCAAUGGGCACUGAAGAUGUAAAUUGUCUUGCUGUUUUUUGAUCUGUUCCUGGGCCUGUUUCUGAGGGUUUAUUUUUGAAGGUGAUGAUUGUUUCUGUAAUGUGACUGGAUGAAGCGGUGCUUUGUCUUUACAACAGUUGCUCCCUGGACGUCUUGUGAAAAUUGUACAUAAUGGAGUAAUAAAGACAUUUUAUAUAUAUAUAUUAUAAAUAUAUAUAUCUAUUUUCAUG